Molecule: ribosomal RNA, 516 nt
Filed under: Lactiplantibacillus paraplantarum
Lineage: Bacteria; Bacillati; Bacillota; Bacilli; Lactobacillales; Lactobacillaceae
Description: bacterial SSU rRNA
Rfam family: Bacterial small subunit ribosomal RNA
Source: RNAcentral
CAUUUCCGCGUCCUAAUCAUGCAGUCGACGAACUCUGGUAUUGAUUGGUGCUUGCAUCAUGAUUUACAUUUGAGUGAGUGGCGAACUGGUGAGUAACACGUGGGAAACCUGCCCAGAAGCGGGGGAUAACACCUGGAAACAGAUGCUAAUACCGCAUAACAACUUGGACCGCAUGGUCCGAGUUUGAAAGAUGGCUUCGGCUAUCACUUUUGGAUGGUCCCGCGGCGUAUUAGCUAGAUGGUGGGGUAACGGCUCACCAUGGCAAUGAUACGUAGCCGACCUGAGAGGGUAAUCGGCCACAUUGGGACUGAGACACGGCCCAAACUCCUACGGGAGGCAGCAGUAGGGAAUCUUCCACAAUGGACGAUAGUCUGAUGGAGCAACGCCGCGUGAGUGAAGAAGGGUUUCGGCUCGUAAAACUCUGUUGUUAAAGAAGAACAUAUCUGAGAGUAACUGUUCAGGUAUUGACGGUAUUUAACCAGAAAGCCACGGCUAACUACGUGCCAGCAGCCGCGG